This 468-nucleotide ribosomal RNA is filed under the name uncultured bacterium. Its description in RNAcentral is "partial 16S ribosomal RNA". It matches the Rfam family "Bacterial small subunit ribosomal RNA", at positions 28 to 507 of the family's 1533-position model. The record is from RNAcentral.
GACGAACGCUGGCGGCGUGCUUAACACAUGCAAGUCGAACGGAAAGGCCCUGCUUUUGUGGGGUGCUCGAGUGGCGAACGGGUGAGUAACACGUGAGUAACCUGCCCUUGACUUUGGGAUAACUUCAGGAAACUGGGGCUAAUACCGGAUAGGAGCUCCUGCUGCAUGGUGGGGGUUGGAAAGUUUCGGCGGUUGGGGAUGGACUCGCGGCUUAUCAGCUUGUUGGCGGGGUAGUGGCUUACCAAGGCUUUGACGGGUAGCCGGCCUGAGAGGGUGACCGGCCACAUUGGGACUGAGAUACGGCCCAGACUCCUACGGGAGGCAGCAGUGGGGAAUAUUGCACAAUGGGCGGAAGCCUGAUGCAGCAACGCCGCGUGCGGGAUGACGGCCUUCGGGUUGUAAACCGCUAUCGCCUGUGACGAAGCGUGAGUGACGGUAAUGGGUAAAGAAGCACCGGCUAACUACGUG